AAGGGAAUGGUACCACAAGGAUUUUGUCUUUGAUGAAGACGGCGGCUGGAUGCUUCAAGGUUGGAAGGGUCGCAUUUUGUAUGCUUCAAGUUGUUGGGUGCCAGCAUAAAAUAUGUCACCCAACUCUUGUUUCAGAACUCAUACUGGAUACAGGUACGAUUCUAAGAUCACUCGCAGAUCUCUAAUCUUUUCACUUUCAUCAUAAUCCGAGCUAUGCCUAGCAUAUAUGAUGUAACAAUGAAAAGCUAAUGGUGUUCUUUUUUUUAUGAUUUCAGGCCACCUUCAGCUGUUCUGAAAUUUGAUGAAUAAUAUUCUUCACAGGUUUGCACCCAGUGACCCUGUAUAAUAUUGGCAGAAUUUCCUCCCAGAUUAGCAUAAGAUCCUACAAGGAUUAGGACAAGAACAUUAGUUGUAAAAAUGUUCUUUAUGAUGUUUUUCUUUUCUGUUCUUUCUCUGACCAUCACGAUAUCUUGUACCGUGAGAUAAACUAGCGACUGAUUUGAUUGUUUAUUAAUGGAUGACUGUUUCAUUUAAUUCUCCAGUUACAAUUUUUGCUUCUUGUUUUCCAUUGAAGUUUGAUUUUAAUUCAGCAUUUAAGAAGCUCUCUCAG
This 610-nucleotide long non-coding RNA is filed under the name Phaseolus vulgaris (common bean). Its description in RNAcentral is "long non-coding RNA (PVUL_LNC003186)". The record is from RNAcentral. Lineage: Eukaryota; Viridiplantae; Streptophyta; Magnoliopsida; Fabales; Fabaceae.